RNAcentral lists this ribosomal RNA (319 nucleotides) under uncultured microorganism. RNAcentral's name for it is "bacterial SSU rRNA". It matches the Rfam family "Bacterial small subunit ribosomal RNA", at positions 9 to 310 of the family's 1533-position model. The record is from RNAcentral.
GAGUUUGAUCGUGGCUCAGGAUGAACGCUGGCGGCGUGCCUAACACAUGCAAGUCGAGCGAAGCAUACAGGAGGAAGUUUUCGGAUGGAAUCCUGCAUGGCUGAGCGGCGGACGGGUGAGUAACGCGUGGGUAACCCUGCCUUAUACAGGGGAUAACAGUUAGAAAUGACUGCUAAUACCGCAUAAGCGCACAGUACCGCAUGGUAGUGUGUGAAAAACUCCGGUGGUAUAAGAUGGACCCGCGUCUGACUAGCCAGUUGGCGAGGUAACGGCUCACCAAGGCGACGAUCAGUAGCUGGUCUGAGAGGAUGAUCCGCCA